Molecule: ribosomal RNA, 427 nt
Filed under: uncultured prokaryote
Description: bacterial SSU rRNA
Rfam family: Bacterial small subunit ribosomal RNA
Source: RNAcentral
UGAGGAAUUUUGCGCAAUGGGAGCAAUCCUGACGCAGCAACGCCGCGUGGAUGAAGAAGGCCGCAAGGUUGUAAAAUCCUUUUGCUGGGGAAGAAUAAGCGCAGGAGGGAAUGCCUGCGUGAUGACAUGAACCGGUGGAUAAGCCCCGGCCAACUACGUGCCAGCAGCCGCGGUAACACGUAGGGGGCAAGCGUUGUUCGGAAUUACUGGGCGUAAAGGGCAUGUAGGCGGUUUAGUAAGCUUGGCGUGAAAGACCACGGCUUAACUGUGGGGUUGCGUUGAGAACUGCUGAACUUGAGUUACGGAGAGGGAGCUAGAAUUCCUGGUGUAGGGGUGGAAUCUGUAGAGAUCAGGAAGAAUACCGAUGGCGAAGGCAAGCUUCUGGCCGAUAACUGACGCUGAGGUGCGAAAGUGUGGGGAUCAAACA